Molecule: transfer RNA, 68 nt
Filed under: Epicauta tibialis
Lineage: Eukaryota; Metazoa; Arthropoda; Insecta; Coleoptera; Meloidae
Description: tRNA-Ser
Source: RNAcentral
AACUAAUGAACUUGUAAAAGUGUAUAUUUUGAAAGUAUAAAAAAGAGACGCUGAUUCUCUAUUAGUUU